UUGGAGGGUGGGGGGAAUGGAAGCGAGAGAAGAGGACAGAAUUGAGCAAGCGAAGCAGCAGGCAUAAUGGUUGUAUUGCAAUGACCGUUAUCCACGAAGAACCAGCCCACCAGUAAUCAGUAAUUACUACAAGUCAAAGCACUUCCACCCUUCUGAGAAUGUAACCCGAUAUCCCUCAAGCUCAAGACUGGAGGCAAGGCAGUCUUAGUGAAGAGCUGUUGGAUGUGGAAUUUGCUGCGCUGAUCCAGAUUUUGUCAUCUUUCAAGACCAAGGAGGAAAAGGUAACCAAGAAGCUGGUGGUAGAAGAGGGAGAUGAGAGGAAUUUACUUCAAAAUUUCAGCUACAAAAUGUCCUUAAGAAUUGUAUGAAUCCCUCUACAGUGCUGCUGUCAAUUACCAGAAAGUUUGUAAUGGAUUUUUCUGGCUGCUGGCUGUUUUUGACUCAUAAACCAGAACAUAAGUUUAAAAGACUUUUCAUGUCUUCUGAGUCUAUGGACAAAUGA
RNAcentral lists this long non-coding RNA (502 nucleotides) under Chrysemys picta bellii (western painted turtle). RNAcentral's name for it is "lncRNA (ENSCPBG00000025149.1)". Lineage: Eukaryota; Metazoa; Chordata; Testudines; Emydidae. The record is from RNAcentral.